GAAUCUGUAGCUUAAAGUAAAGUAUCGCCUUGUCACGGUGAUGGAUGCCCACUCGUACUGGGUCAGAUUCG
RNAcentral lists this transfer RNA (71 nucleotides) under Schizosaccharomyces pombe (fission yeast). Its description in RNAcentral is "tRNA Aspartic acid (guc), mitochondrial". It matches the Rfam family "tRNA". Rfam says of the family: Transfer RNA (tRNA) molecules are approximately 80 nucleotides in length. Their secondary structure includes four short double-helical elements and three loops (D, anti-codon, and T loops). Lineage: Eukaryota; Fungi; Ascomycota; Schizosaccharomycetes; Schizosaccharomycetales; Schizosaccharomycetaceae. The record is from RNAcentral.